This is a non-coding RNA of Colletotrichum orbiculare MAFF 240422, 92 nucleotides long. The record is from Rfam. Lineage: Eukaryota; Fungi; Ascomycota; Sordariomycetes; Glomerellales; Glomerellaceae.
GCACCAAAUGAUGAUCAACACCUUCUAUACUUUUUUCUGGUACCUCUUAUUUUAAAGCCUUCGGGCUUGAUGAAUGAACCGGACUUCUGAAU